CAUGUACGGGGGGCGCAGUCAUCUGGGGAGUAGCCAGCCGUCGAUCGCGACGGGCCUUUGCGUCAACAUACUUGGUCGAGAGACCAUGGCGCGAAGGGAGCGGUGUACAGCCGCUCGGGCGAGACCAAUGGCGCCAUGCUUUCCGCUCCUGGCCGGGCGGGAGGGCGUGGUGUCGUUGAGUCGAUCGUCGCC
Molecule: small RNA, 192 nt
Filed under: Sphingomonas sp.
Lineage: Bacteria; Pseudomonadati; Pseudomonadota; Alphaproteobacteria; Sphingomonadales; Sphingomonadaceae
Description: Manganese sequence
Rfam family: Manganese Mn2+ riboswitch aptamer (yybP-ykoY) (bases 24-192)
About the family: This RNA was originally discovered in E. coli during a large scale screen and was named SraF. The family was later found to exist upstream of related families of protein genes in many bacteria, including the the yybP and ykoK genes in B. subtilis.
Source: RNAcentral